UAUAAUGCAAGUCGAGCGGACAGAAGGGAGCUUGCUCCCGGAUGUUAGCGGCGGACGGGUGAGUAACACGUGGGUAACCUGCCUGUAAGACUGGGAUAACUCCGGGAAACCGGAGCUAAUACCGGAUAGUUCCUUGAACCGCAUGGUUCAAGGAUGAAAGACGGUUUCGGCUGUCACUUACAGAUGGACCCGCGGCGCAUUAGCUAGUUGGUGAGGUAACGGCUCACCAAGGCGACGAUGCGUAGCCGACCUGAGAGGGUGAUCGGCCACACUGGGACUGAGACACGGCCCAGACUCCUACGGGAGGCAGCAGUAGGGAAUCUUCCGCAAUGGACGAAAGUCUGACGGAGCAACGCCGCGUGAGUGAUGAAGGUUUUCGGAUCGUAAAGCUCUGUUGUUAGGGAAGAACAAGUGCAAGAGUAACUGCUUGCACCUUGACGGUACCUAACCAGAAAGCCACGGCUAACUACGUGCCAGCAGCCGCGGUAAUACGUAGGUGGCAAGCGUUGUCCGGAAUUAUUGGGCGUAAAGGGCUCGCAGGCGGUUUCUUAAGUCUGAUGUGAAAGCCCCCGGCUCAACCGGGGAGGGUCAUUGGAAACUGGGAAACUUGAGUGCAGAAGAGGAGAGUGGAAUUCCACGUGUAGCGGUGAAAUGCGUAGAGAUGUGGAGGAA
RNAcentral lists this ribosomal RNA (672 nucleotides) under Bacillus aerophilus. RNAcentral's name for it is "bacterial SSU rRNA". It matches the Rfam family "Bacterial small subunit ribosomal RNA", at positions 52 to 706 of the family's 1533-position model. The record is from RNAcentral. Lineage: Bacteria; Bacillati; Bacillota; Bacilli; Caryophanales; Bacillaceae.